CAAAAUGACUCUCGGCAACGGAUAUCUCGGCUCUCGCAUCGAUGAAGAACGUAGCGAAAUGCGAUACUUGGUGUGAAUUGCAGAAUCCCGUGAACCAUCGAGUCUUUGAACGCAAGUUGCGCCCGAAGCCAUUCGGUUGAGGGCACGUCUGCCUGGGUGUCACA
RNAcentral lists this ribosomal RNA (164 nucleotides) under Scorpiurus muricatus subsp. sulcatus. RNAcentral describes it as "Scorpiurus sulcatus 5.8S ribosomal RNA". It matches the Rfam family "5.8S ribosomal RNA". Rfam says of the family: 5.8S ribosomal RNA (5.8S rRNA) is a component of the large subunit of the eukaryotic ribosome. It is transcribed by RNA polymerase I as part of the 45S precursor that also contains 18S and 28S rRNA. RNAcentral also lists the same sequence under 1 other name. Lineage: Eukaryota; Viridiplantae; Streptophyta; Magnoliopsida; Fabales; Fabaceae. The record is from RNAcentral.